AACGAACGCUGGCGGCAGGCCUAACACAUGCAAGUCGAACGCCCUAGCAAUAGGGAGUGGCAGACGGGUGAGUAACACGUGGGAACCUUCCCUGUAGUACGGAAUAGCCCAGGGAAACUUGGAGUAAUACCGUAUACGCCCGAAAGGGGAAAGAUUUAUCGCUAUAGGAUGGGCCCGCGUAGGAUUAGCUAGUUGGUGAGGUAAUGGCUCACCAAGGCGACGAUCCUUAGCUGGUUUGAGAGAACGACCAGCCACACUGGGACUGAGACACGGCCCAGACUCCUACAGGAGGCAGCAGUGGGGAAUAUUGGACAAUGGGCGCAAGCCUGAUCCAGCCAUGCCGCGUGAGUGAUGAAGGCCUUAGGGUUGU
RNAcentral lists this ribosomal RNA (370 nucleotides) under uncultured bacterium. RNAcentral describes it as "bacterial SSU rRNA". It matches the Rfam family "Bacterial small subunit ribosomal RNA", at positions 29 to 426 of the family's 1533-position model. The record is from RNAcentral.